RNAcentral lists this transfer RNA (65 nucleotides) under Colpocephalum spinicollis. RNAcentral's name for it is "tRNA-Met". The record is from RNAcentral. Lineage: Eukaryota; Metazoa; Arthropoda; Insecta; Psocodea; Menoponidae.
UAAAAGGUAAGCUAUAUUUAAGCUAUCAGGUUCAUACCCUGUUGAAAAGUUUAUCUUCCUUUUAA